Oryctolagus cuniculus (rabbit) is the source of this 359-nucleotide non-coding RNA. The record is from RefSeq and is a predicted model, not a curated record. NCBI's taxonomy places the organism in Eukaryota, Metazoa, Chordata, Mammalia, Lagomorpha, Leporidae.
CUCACCCACACCUGAGGAUUCUCCAGGUCUCCCCCUGGAGAGAUGGCAGCCUCUCAGCGACACAGCUCAGGGACCAUUGUGAACAUUCUCUGAGUCCCGGGAGCCAGGCCUAGUCAUCGGCUGGCUCGCCUGCAUGAGAUGCGCAUCUGUGGUUUUGUUUUAUGUUGGUGUGUACCAAAAAUUGCAGCACUGGAGCAGAUAAGGGAGAAUGAGGGGCAAGCAUCACCUCUGUACCGAGCAGGACAUUGGUAACUGGAGAGAAACAGCAUGAAAAACUGCCGAUUUAAGGGAGCUAAAUGCACCAUGGCAAGGAGGUACUGCAGAGGGCAUAUGCAUCACUGGAUGCAGAUGGCUUGGGA